GGGGAACAGCCAAACAAAAUGUGGGUGCUCGCAGAGCAAUGCUACAACAACAGCAGAGGAGCAGCAUGCAAGUAAGGAAAGUCUACUCCCAAGGGGCGAAUUCUCAAAGGAGUAGUGACUAUUUUAACCCAACGGUAUCUUCAAUCAUGAAGAAACGGAACAACUUGGAGCCACAGACCAGACCCCGUCAAAGUGCAGCAAAUUCAUCACCAAAAUGGAAUUUCUGAUUAACAAACUUUAGAUAAAAUCAUUCUUUUGAGCCAAGCUCUCCUUCUUUGGGCUUACACUGUAACUAAUUAUAGUGACUACAUGUGCAAA
Molecule: unclassified non-coding RNA, 318 nt
Filed under: Hevea brasiliensis (rubber tree)
Lineage: Eukaryota; Viridiplantae; Streptophyta; Magnoliopsida; Malpighiales; Euphorbiaceae
Source: RNAcentral